CGUUGGCGUGCUGACGUCGCGGCGGAGGACGCGCGUGUUUCGGCUAGGGGUCCGGGCGUGGGUUUAGAAACAGCGCAGGACUGUAGGGUGUUCUGGGCGUCCAGGGUGCGUGGGUUUCUUUUUGGAGUUUGCCGCCGAAUGUGUUGUCUGCGUUCCACCCGUUCGGGAAGAGGGAAGCAGCGGAGAGGUUCUGUACGGACAGAGCUGGGGCUCGUGAAGGGGAAGGGCGCCUUCGGGCGGCUCUGGAGCGCCUGAGGCAGGGCUGCGGCCCGAAGAGGGGAGAAGAGAAGGAUUCCUGCAGUCAGGGUCCAACCCGUUUGGGAUCAGGGCUGGUCCCGAGGAGGGCCUGGGGCAGCCGUGCGAUGUUCGGGGCCCGGUGCCUGCUCCGAGCCCUGCGCUUCUGCUCCUCCUCUCCCUGCCCGAGGCACAAACCUUCAGCCAAGCUGAGCGUGCGGGACGCUCUCAGGGCCCAGAACGCGAGUGGGGAGCGCGUUAAGGUCCAGGGAUGGAUUCGUUCAGUCCGAUCCCAGAAGGAAGUCUUGUUCCUGCAUGUGAAUGAUGGGACAUCUUUGGAAAGCCUUCAGGUUGUAGCAGAUUCAAGCUUUUACAGUAGAGAAUUGGCUUUUGGGAGUUCUGUGGAAGUUCAAGGGCAGCUGGUAAAAAGUCCAUCCAAAAGGCAAAAUGUGGAAUUGAAGGCAGAAAAAAUUGAAGUUGUUGGAAAUUGUGAUGCCAAGGAUUUCCCUUUAAAAUACAAAGAGAGGCAUCCUCUGGAGUAUCUGAGACAAUAUCCUCACCUUAGGUGUAGGACGAAUGUUCUGGGUUCUAUUCUGAGAGUUCGCAGCGAAGCCACAGCUGCUAUCCAUUCUUUCUUUAAGGACAAUGGCUUUGUGCAUAUUCAUACUCCAAUCAUCACAUCCAAUGACUGUGAGGGGGCUGGAGAACUUUUUCAGGUCGAACCUUCAAGCAAAAUAAAAGUACCUGAGGAGAAUUUCUUCAAUGUUCCUGCAUUUUUAACUGUCUCGGGACAACUUCACCUAGAAGUGAUGUCAGGAGCUUUUACUCAAGUGUUUACCUUUGGCCCAAAAUUUCGAGCAGAGAAUUCUCAGAGCCGGAGACACCUGGCAGAGUUUUAUAUGGUAGAAGCAGAGAUUUCCUUUCUUGAGAAUCUUCAAGAUCUCAUGCAGGUAAUGGAGGGCCUCUUUAAGACUACAACAAUGACAGUUCUGUCAAAUUGUCCUGAAGAUGUUGAACUGUGUCACAAGUUCAUAGCUCCUGGCCAAAAGGACAGAUUAGAACAUAUGCUAAAAAACAACUUUCUAAUCAUUUCUUACACUGAGGCAGUGGAGAUCUUAAAGCAGGCAUCCCAGAACUUCACCUUCUGCCCAGAGUGGGGUGCUGAUCUACACACCGAACAUGAAAAGUACCUGGUGAAGCACUGUGGCAACAUGCCAGUCUUUGUCAUUAAUUAUCCAUUAAAGCUCAAGCCAUUCUACAUGAGGGAUAAUGAAGAUAGUCCUCAGCACACAGUUGCUGCUGUUGAUCUUCUGGUUCCUGGAGUUGGAGAACUCUUUGGAGGAAGCCUCAGAGAGGAACGGUACCAUUUCUUAGAGCAGCAGUUGGCCAGAUCGGGACUGACAGAAGCCUACCAAUGGUAUCUGGACCUCCGUCGAUUUGGAUCUGUGCCACAUGGCGGUUUUGGGAUGGGAUUUGAACGCUAUCUGCAGUGCAUCCUGGGAAUUGACAACAUCAAAGAUGUUAUCCCUUUUCCAAGAUUUACUCAUUCGUGUCUUUUAUAGCUGGAAGACUGAUUAAGGAAAAUCACCCCAUGCCAGAGGUACUGCACAUGAACACAUAUACCAGGAGAAUACAUAUUUGAAUUUUAGAAAUGCAGAGAUUUUCAGCAUGUAAUUGUCAUGCCAUAAGAGGUAUGGAAAAUACACGUGAUCUUGAUUUUUCCGGAAAGUUGAAGCCAUUUCACAGAAAGAUGAACUCCUUCAAGAAGAGGUACUUAUAGCAGAUAGAAUCUCAAAUCUAUUGUGUCAAUUAAGACAAAAUGAACAAAUUGAACUAGAUGGUCUGAAAGGUCCUUUCAAACUCUAAGACAAGAUGAAAUAGUGUAUUUUAUUUUGUCUUUAAUCUGUAGACCACUGCCCUGUGUCACCUUUGAGAAACAACUAGUAGCUAAAAAUAAAAUGUUCAUGGAUCUCUUCUUCCUUGCCCUUUAACCUAUGAUAAAUUCCCAUCUUAUUUUCAGAAGAAAAUCCUUUUUCAGGUCUUAAUUGAGUUAAUAAAGUUGCUAUUGUGAGUUGAAAUCUUUUUUUUCAUCAGACUGUGUGAAAAAAAUCACAUUUAAUAGCUAUUGAUCCUUGAAAUUAACAUUGUAAAUCAACUACAAUUCAGUAAAAAGUUUUUUUAAUAACAACUGCUGCUUAGUUAUGAGCUAACAAGAAGUUUUAAUUAUUUAACCUAAUCACUGUUGUGUUACAGUUAGUUUGUGUCAGAUAUUUAUAACAUCUCUGAUAAUCAGUAAAAUAGAUUUUUGAUACCUAUCAAAGAGAAAAACAGGUUUUUAAAUUCCAUUUGGCCUUUUCCAAGUGAAAUUUGGAAGGAAGGUAUUUUCGAUCCAAGAUGAGGAUACAGUAUGGCUAAACCUAAAGGGUGGAUAAUUCUGGUGUCAAAAAGUAACAGAGUGUAUUAGAGUUAGAAGAUCAUUGAUUUGGGAGUUUGAAGCCUGACAGUUCUAGCACUUACAUGUAUAAAUUUGAGUAAGCCACCUCCUCUGUAUGAACGUACGCAUCAUUUUCCUCACAGAGCUGAUCAUAAUUACAUGAAAGUGUGUGUGUGUGCAUGUGUGUUUAAAACUGUGGAAUGCUACACAAAUUUUUAAAAAAUCUUCUAGUUUUCAUUGAGGUAAGGAUAAACAGACUUAUGGCAAAUUGUAAACUCAGGAUUUGUAUGUAUCAAACAAUUAUAAAAAGGCAUACAUACCUGAAAAAUCAAUUUUCUAAGUCUCACUAGAUGACUUCGGUUACUUCCUAAUGAUUUCUGUAUGCACUUUACUUUAACCUAACUCAAAAUCAAGCAACUGAAAAGAACUUCAGAGUUGGAAGUCGUGAAAGGCACUGAGAGAUGGUCAAGGUCAAACUUCUGCACAAAGCAGAGAGAUCCUAUGCACCUUGGCAGCCUCUUGGCAAAGAGCUCAGUACCCUGCAAAACAGUUCAUUCCAUUUCUGAAUCUCUCUAAUUGGUAGCUUUUGCUGAACUAAAAUCUACUUCCCUGGAACUUUAAUCCCUGGGCUUAGAUACCCAGUUUAAGACUGGAUAAAAGGGAUAAUUACGGCUUCCAUAAGGCUUGCCUCAGCCAAGGGGAGAGAGUUAAAUUCAUUUAUUUACUCAACAAAUAUUAUUUGAACUUACUCUGUGUGCCAGGAACGGUGCUAGGUACAAUAGUGAAAUGACCCUUGCCUUCAUGGAAUUUAUGGUCUAUUAUAAAAGAUACACAGUCAUUAAGUAAACAAAUGUAUUAUUUUAAAAUAUGGCAUGGCCUGUAAAAUUUUAUAAAGAACAAGGCAAUCACAGAUAAUCUUACUGGAGGAGGCAUUUAGCUUUAGAUCUGGAAGAUAAAGUGCAGAAACCAUUUAAAAAUGUUUGUAACAUCAGUUAAUUUGAUUUGGCAUUCAGGUCUUUUUUUUUUAAAUUAGGUUUGUUUGUUUGUUUGUUUGUUUAAAUAGAGAUACAGAGAAUUGAACCCAGGACCUUGUGCAUGCUAAGCAUGCACUCUACCACUCAGCUGUACUCUCCCCCUGGCAUUCUUGAUGCUGUAUUUUGUGGAGCGAGAAUCACAAACAUUCACAGGCCCCAAACCUGGAUGCACUAGUAAUUUCCAAGGCUAUCAGGAAUCAUGCCUGCAGUGAUUUUUGAGGAAUCAGAUAAAAUUGUGACAUUAACAUGAUGGCUGGGCAUCAGAAAUGAUAGUGAUAGAAAGAACACUGAAUGAGAGAGACCACAGGUUCUGGUCCCAUUGCCACCAUUAGCUUAGCUGAGAAGCACUAGGCGAAUAAGAUCAUCUUUGUGACCUCCAGUUGUCUCAUCUGCAGAACUGUCAUUUUGAAGGAGAUGUACUUUAAGGAUCCUUCUGUCUCUUAAUCUUCUAUGAAUCUGUGCUGGACAUAGUCACUAAAAAUAAUUGAUUUAGAGUGUGACCUUUGAAUUUCAUUUUAAUGUAUACUAGGUAUCUAGAAAUGUAUAGUGAAAUCAAAUGGCUGAAAGUGUAACAGUACAUACACCUAAGUGUGUUCAGUGUAUGCAUAUGUGAGAUGGGAGAAGGUCCUUCUCGAGGAGUCAAACAUACAUUCUUCCUUAUCUUUUUGAUAGUCUCCAGCAAUAUAUUUCAAAACCUUCAUACUUAUUUGUUCGUUCUUUUCUUUCACAGUUGAUCACAUAGUAAGUAUCUCAUUGAAGCCAGACAUUUGCCACUUAGCCUACUAAUUUCCAUCUUUGGUUCAGUUCUUAUGUUUUGCCAAGAACUGGACAAAAACGAACACUAAUGUCAGACAAGGGUAAUGAAAAUGCCAAAACUAAACUGUUGCUUGCAGGCAGCAUCAAGAGGGAAAAACUUUUAAAUGUCCACUUGUCGGCUAAUAUAUGAAUAUUCAAAUUCUACGUACAAACAGCAUUUAUAAUUCUACAUAGAAUGAAUGAAAUGUCUGGAUAUAAUUGUUGAGGACCAUCUAUUCUGUAAUAAUAUUGGGCUGAUUUUGUGUGUUGAAAGGUGAUUUGAGGGUAUUAAUUUUCACUCGAGUAACCAGUUUCCAACAAGGGAAAAACCAGGUCUGUUGUCCCAAGAUUUCCAAACGUCACCUCAAAAUAGUAAUCCAAGUAAGAGUGUAUUCUAAAACUUAGAAAUGUUUUUUCCAUAAUUCCCAUUCUCAUUUCAAAUUUUGACGUAGGUGGAGAAAAAUAGUAUCUUUCCAUCUGGCUGUCCUCUUGCCUGGGGAAGUUGUGCUGUCAUGGCUUUGUUUUUUGGUUUUUUAGGGAUGUGACAAGAACUUAAUUGUGUAUGUGAUCCAUUCCAGAUCUAGACAUAUCCCUCCCACCCUUUGACCCAGCCCAGAGACUCUGUCACAGAACAGCAAAGGAACUGCUUGACCUUUUGUCCCUCUCAGAGUCUGCCAGAAGCAUCUCUCUACAGUGCUACACAUUCAUAUUCUUUAUAAAUUGAAUCUAGACAUUCAAGCACGACUGAACAGGCAUUGAAGAUGCAGUUGGUUUUUGCAUCAGGCAACUGUUGGGUCAGAUUCCUGCCAGAAAAUGUGCUGGACGUUUGGUGUCUUGGAGCAGGUAUUGGAUGUAGCAGGAGAAGACUCUGGUUUUCAUUAGACACUACUUACCAGCUGCGGAACCUUAAGCAAGUUAUUUUAUCUCUUGAGUUUGUAUACGCUUCUGCAAAAUGAGGAUAAUAUUUAUCAUACAGAGUGUUGUGAGAAACAGUGAAGACUGUGUGAAAAGGUUUCAUAAACUGAAAACACUACUCAAAUGUAAGGUCUCCUAAGGAAAUUCUUUUCAAAACUCAGAAAAAAGGGGUAUGAACUAAGACAUUUAUUGCAUAUUGAAUAAAAUAUUUUAUAGCCAUAAAAA
Non-coding RNA from Vicugna pacos (alpaca), 5637 nucleotides. The record is from RefSeq and is a predicted model, not a curated record. Lineage: Eukaryota; Metazoa; Chordata; Mammalia; Artiodactyla; Camelidae.